GUGAGGAAUAUUGGUCAAUGGGCGAGAGCCUGAACCAGCCAAGUCGCGUGAAGGAUGAAGGAUCUAUGGUUUGUAAACUUCUUUUAUAUGGGAAUAAAGUGAGGAACGUGUUCCUUUUUGUAUGUACCAUAUGAAUAAGCAUCGGCUAACUCCGUGCCAGCAGCCGCGGUAAUACGGAGGAUGCGAGCGUUAUCCGGAUUUAUUGGGUUUAAAGGGUGCGUAGGUGGUUAAUUAAGUCAGCGGUGAAAGUUUGUGGCUCAACCAUAAAAUUGCCGUUGAAACUGGUUGACUUGAGUAUAUUUGAGGUAGGCGGAAUGCGUGGUGUAGCGGUGAAAUGCAUAGAUAUCACGCAGAACUCCGAUUGCGAAGGCAGCUUACUAAACUAUAACUGACACUGAAGCACGAAAGCGUGGGGAUCAAACAGGAUUAGAUACCCGGGUAGUCC
RNAcentral lists this ribosomal RNA (445 nucleotides) under uncultured bacterium. RNAcentral describes it as "bacterial SSU rRNA". It matches the Rfam family "Bacterial small subunit ribosomal RNA", at positions 354 to 796 of the family's 1533-position model. The record is from RNAcentral.